CACGCUGUAAACGAUCAAUACUAGGUGUGCGGGGACUGACCCCCUGCGUGCCGGAGUUAACACAAUAAGUAUUGCACCUGGGGAGUACGAUCGCAAGGUUGAAACUCAAAGGAAUUGACGGGGGCCCGCACAAGCGGUGGAUUAUGUGGUUUAAUUCGAAGCAACGCGAAGAACCUUACCAGGGCUUGACAUCCUACUAAUGAAGCAGAGAUGCAUUAAGUGCCCUUCGGGGAAAGUAGAGACAGGUGG
This 249-nucleotide ribosomal RNA is filed under the name uncultured bacterium. RNAcentral's name for it is "partial 16S ribosomal RNA". It matches the Rfam family "Bacterial small subunit ribosomal RNA", at positions 796 to 1041 of the family's 1533-position model. RNAcentral also lists the same sequence under 1 other name. The record is from RNAcentral.